AUUGAACGCUGGCGGCAGGCCUAACCCAUGCAAGUCGAACGAGUUGCUGACGGGUGAGUAAUGUCUGGGAAACUUCCUGAUGGAGGGGGAUAACUACUGGAAAAGGUAGCUCAUACCGCAUACCAUCGGAUGUGCCCAGAUGGGCUGAGCUAGUAGGUGGGGUAAAGGCUCACCUAGGCGAAGAUCCCUAGCUGGUCUGAGAGGAUGACCAGCCAAACUGGAACUGAGACACGGUCCAGACUCCUACGGGAGGCAGCAGUGGGGAAUAUUGCACAAUGGGCGCAAGCCUGAUGCAGCCAUGCCGCGUGUAUGAAGAAGGCCGUCGGGUUGUAAAGUACUUUCAGCGGGGAGGCGUUACCCGCAGAAGAAGCACCGGCUAACUCCGUGCCAGCAGCCGCGGUAAUUC
RNAcentral lists this ribosomal RNA (406 nucleotides) under uncultured bacterium. RNAcentral describes it as "partial 16S ribosomal RNA". It matches the Rfam family "Bacterial small subunit ribosomal RNA", at positions 30 to 526 of the family's 1533-position model. The record is from RNAcentral.